This 353-nucleotide ribosomal RNA is filed under the name uncultured soil bacterium. RNAcentral's name for it is "bacterial SSU rRNA". It matches the Rfam family "Bacterial small subunit ribosomal RNA", at positions 26 to 375 of the family's 1533-position model. The record is from RNAcentral.
AGAUUGAACGCUGGCGGCAUGCCUUACACAUGCAAGUCGAACGGCAGCACGGGAGCAAUCCUGGUGGCGAGUGGCGAACGGGUGAGUAAUAUAUCGGAACGUGCCCAGUAAUGGGGGAUAGCCCGGCGAAAGCCGGAUUAAUACCGCAUACGACCUACGGUGAAAGCGGGGGAUCGCAAGACCUCGCGUUAUUGGAGCGGCCGAUAUCAGAUUAGCUUGUUGGCGGGUAAAAGCCCGACCAAGGCAACGAUCUGUAGCUGGUCUGAGAGGACGACCAGCCACACGUGGGACUGACGACACCGGCCCAGACCUACCGUACGGGACGCGAGCAGGUAGGGUAAUUUUGGAACAGU